CGCGUAGGCGGUGAGAUGCGUCCGUUGUGAAAUCGCUCGGCUCAACUGGGCGGGGUCAGCGGAUACGGUCUCACUUGAGCAAGCUAGGGGGCAAUGGAAUUCCCGGUGUAGUGGUGGAAUGCGUAGAUAUCGGGAGGAACACCAGUGGCGAAGGCGGUUGCCUGGGGCUUUGCUGACGCUGAGGCGCGAAAGCGUGGGGAGCGAUCCGGAUUAGAUACCCGGGUAGUCCACGCCGUAAACGAUGUCGACUAGGUGUCGGGGGUAUCGACCCCCUCGGCGCCGCAGCUAACGCAUUAAGUCGACCGCCUGGGGACUACGGCCGCAAGGCUAAA
RNAcentral lists this ribosomal RNA (332 nucleotides) under uncultured bacterium. Its description in RNAcentral is "bacterial SSU rRNA". It matches the Rfam family "Bacterial small subunit ribosomal RNA", at positions 568 to 898 of the family's 1533-position model. The record is from RNAcentral.